RNAcentral lists this ribosomal RNA (468 nucleotides) under uncultured bacterium. Its description in RNAcentral is "partial 16S ribosomal RNA". It matches the Rfam family "Bacterial small subunit ribosomal RNA", at positions 28 to 507 of the family's 1533-position model. The record is from RNAcentral.
GACGAACGCUGGCGGCGUGCUUAACACAUGCAAGUCGAACGGAAAGGCCCUGCUUUUGUGGGGUGCUCGAGUGGCGAACGGGUGAGUAACACGUGAGUAACCUGCCCUUGACUUUGGGAUAACUUCAGGAAACUGGGGCUAAUACCGGAUAGGAGCUCCUGCUGCAUGGUGGGGGUUGGAAAGUUUCGGCGGUUGGGCGUGGACUCGCGCAUUAUCAGCUUGUUGGUGGGGUAGUGGCUUACCAAGGCUUUGACGGGUAGCCGGCCUGAGAGGGUGACCGGCCACAUUGGGACUGAGAUACGGCCCGGACUCCUACGGGAGGCAGCAGUGGGGAAUAUUGCACAAUGGGCGGAAGCCUGAUGCAGCAACGCCGCGUGCGGGAUGACGGCCUUCGGGUUGUAAACCGCUUUCGCCUGUGACGAAGCGUGAGUGACGGUAAUGGGUAAAGAAGCACCGGCUAACUACGUG